AGUGAUGUAGCUCAGUGGCAGAUCAUCUGUCUUGCAUGCAAAAGGUCCCACCUUCCAUUCCUGGUGUCUCUA
Molecule: non-coding RNA, 72 nt
Organism: Podarcis lilfordi (Lilford's wall lizard)
Lineage: Eukaryota; Metazoa; Chordata; Lepidosauria; Squamata; Lacertidae
Source: the annotation of a GenBank genome assembly